AGUGAACGCUGGCGGUAGGCCUAACACAUGCAAGUCGAACGGCAGCACAGUAAGAGCUUGCUCUUACGGGUGGCGAGUGGCGGACGGGUGAGGAAUACAUCGGAAUCUACUUUUUCGUGGGGGAUAACGUAGGGAAACUUACGCUAAUACCGCAUACGACCUACGGGUGAAAGCAGGGGAUCUUCGGACCUUGCGCGAUUGAAUGGGCCGAUGUCGGAUUAGCUAGUUGGCGGGGUAAAGGCCCACCAAGGCGACGAUCCGUAGCUGGUCUGAGAGGAUGAUCAGCCACACUGGAACUGAGACACGGUCCAGACUCCUACGGGAGGCAGCAGUGGGGAAUAUUGGACAAUGGGCGCAAGCCUGAUCCAACCAUACCGCGUGGGUGAAGAAGGCCUUCGGGUUGUAAAGCCCUUUUGUUGGGAAAGAAAAGCAGCAGGUUAAUACCCCGCUGUUCUGACGGUACCCAAAGAAUAAGCACCGGCUAACUUCGUG
Molecule: ribosomal RNA, 492 nt
Filed under: uncultured bacterium
Lineage: Bacteria
Description: partial 16S ribosomal RNA
Rfam family: Bacterial small subunit ribosomal RNA
Source: RNAcentral